This 313-nucleotide ribosomal RNA is filed under the name Humboldtiana buffoniana. RNAcentral's name for it is "partial 16S ribosomal RNA". The record is from RNAcentral. Lineage: Eukaryota; Metazoa; Mollusca; Gastropoda; Stylommatophora; Humboldtianidae.
GUUCUAUNUUGUAAUAUCUUGAAAUUACUAAAUAGGUGAAAAUACCUAUUUAACUAAUAAAAGACGAGAAGACCCUAGAAAUUUUUUAUAAAGUAUAUAUAAAUACUAUUAUUUUGUUGGGGCGACAGAAUAACAGUUAACUUAUUUUAUUCUAUAUUUGAAUUUUUUAUAAUGAGAAAUAAAAUUACUCUAGGGAUAACAGCAUAAUUAUAUUAUAGUUUGUGACCUCGAUGUUGGACUAAGGAAGGUUAUAUUCAGAAGAUAUAACAGCAUGUUCUGUUCGAACAAAUAAUCCUUACAUGAUCUGAGUUCG